UACGUAGGGGGCGAGCGUUGUCCGGAUUUAUUGGGCGUAAAGCGCGCGCAGGCGGUUCAUUAAGUCUGGUGUGAAAGCUCCCGGCUCACCUGGGAGAGGGCACUGGAGACUGGUGGACUGGAGCGAGGCAGAGGCCGGUGGAAUUCCCGGUGUAGUGGUGAAAUGCGUAGAGAUCGGGAGGAACACCGGUGGCGAAGGCGGCUUUCUGGACAGAUACCGACGCUGAGGCACGAAAGCUAGGGGAGCAAACAGG
RNAcentral lists this ribosomal RNA (253 nucleotides) under uncultured bacterium. RNAcentral describes it as "partial 16S ribosomal RNA". It matches the Rfam family "Bacterial small subunit ribosomal RNA", at positions 524 to 776 of the family's 1533-position model. The record is from RNAcentral.